AUUGAACGCUGGUGGCAUGCUUAACACAUGCAAGUCGCACGGCAGCAUUAUCUUGCUUGCAAGAUAGAUGGCGAGUGGCGGACGGGUGAGUAUAGCAUAGGAAUCUGCCCUAAAGUGGGGGAUAACGAAGGGAAACUUUCGCUAAUACCGCAUAUUGCCUGAGGGUAAGAGUCGGCUUUUAGCUGGCGCUUUAGGAUGAGCCUAUGUCAGAUUAGCUAGAUGGUAGGGUAAAGGCUUACCAUGGCGACGAUCUGUAGCUGUCCUGAGAGGAAGAUCAGCCACACUGGGACUGAGACACGGCCCAG
Molecule: ribosomal RNA, 305 nt
Filed under: uncultured bacterium
Lineage: Bacteria
Description: bacterial SSU rRNA
Rfam family: Bacterial small subunit ribosomal RNA
Source: RNAcentral